This 118-nucleotide small nuclear RNA is filed under the name Podiceps cristatus (great crested grebe). RNAcentral describes it as "U1 spliceosomal RNA". It matches the Rfam family "U1 spliceosomal RNA", at positions 1 to 119 of the family's 166-position model. From Rfam's summary of the family: U1 is a small nuclear RNA (snRNA) component of the spliceosome (involved in pre-mRNA splicing). Its 5' end forms complementary base pairs with the 5' splice junction, thus defining the 5' donor site of an intron. Lineage: Eukaryota; Metazoa; Chordata; Aves; Podicipediformes; Podicipedidae. The record is from Rfam by way of RNAcentral.
GUACUUACCUGGCAGGGGAAACACCAUGAUCAGGAAGGUGGUUUUCCCAGGUCAAGGCUCAUCCCUUGAGCUCCGGGUGUGCUGAUGCCUGCGAUUUCCCCAAAUGUGGGAAACUCGA